ACGCCGAUGGUGAAACGGUUAUCAUGCUUGCCUUCCAUCAAUGCGGCUUGAGCCGGCUACAGCAAGCGGUAGGGGUUCAACUCCCCUUCGGCGUA
Molecule: non-coding RNA, 95 nt
Organism: Desarmillaria tabescens
Lineage: Eukaryota; Fungi; Basidiomycota; Agaricomycetes; Agaricales; Physalacriaceae
Source: the annotation of a RefSeq genome assembly